CUAAUAUUUAACAGCUAUAUAUUUUAGUAAAAAAAGAUCAUAAUAGGCACUCACAAAAUAAAUAAAUAAAUAUGCUUACAAGUUCCCCCUAUUUCCUUUUAUUAGUCAGGCUUUCUUGAAAAGGUCGCAAGCUCACACUUGUUUGGCUCUAUAGCACUUCUUGCGAAAAGUGGGAAUCUUUCUCUAACUGAAUUAAUGUUAGAAUGGAGCCGAACAAGUUUAUGUUUUUAUGCGACUUCAAGAGUUGACAAAGGUUUAAGUUCUGAGCUCCAGAAUCAGAACUGGAGAGUUCUUUCUGUAGCUAAUGAAUGUAGCAUAGAGGUUCCUGGUGUUUUAAAUGUUCAGAGGCUUCAGCAGUUGCUUCUCACCUUGGCUACUCUAAUAAAAAGGGAACUAUGUGACUCAUCUGUUCUGGUGAUUGGAUAUAUAAUGAAAAAAAUCCUGUGAGGAAAACUUCGCAAGGGCAAGUUACUUUAGAGUUU
Zea mays is the source of this 482-nucleotide RNA transcript. RefSeq lists it as uncharacterized. The record is from RefSeq and is a predicted model, not a curated record. The transcript has 3 exons. Lineage: Eukaryota; Viridiplantae; Streptophyta; Magnoliopsida; Poales; Poaceae.